Non-coding RNA from Neolamprologus brichardi, 332 nucleotides. The record is from RefSeq and is a predicted model, not a curated record. NCBI's taxonomy places the organism in Eukaryota, Metazoa, Chordata, Actinopteri, Cichliformes, Cichlidae.
CCUGCUGGUGUUGUUUUCCGGAUUAUGGGAAUACUGCUCCUCCUGACUGUCUGCUUCUCUGGAGUCUUUAUCUGGAGGAGAAAAUAUAAAGAGCUGCACUGACAUGCAGCUUUAGAAAGAAAUUUAUCGCUCAACCAUCUCAGCUUUGCAUGAAGUCAGCCUCUCCCAGCUGUCAUGACUCAAAGGUACAUCCAGGACGAGAUGCCAGUCUAUCUGAGAAAGAGAGAGACAACCACACAAACUCACACGUGCAGGGAAAACUUAGAAUUAAAAUGCCCUCCUUUGACCUCCUGUUUCCCCUCCCUCUCCUCUCCAGUGAGGAGUUAAACAGU